Molecule: ribosomal RNA, 801 nt
Filed under: uncultured bacterium
Lineage: Bacteria
Description: bacterial SSU rRNA
Rfam family: Bacterial small subunit ribosomal RNA
Source: RNAcentral
CGGUAUGUUUAAGGCAUGCAAGUCGAUCGUGUAUCUUCGGAUAUGCGAGGCAAACGGGAGAGUAACACAUUGGUAACUUACCCUCAACUCAAGUAUAACCCAGUGAAAAUUGGGACAAUCCUUGAUAGUCCAUAGUUUAUACGCAAGAUUAAAUUAUGGUAAAGAUUUAUCGGUUGGGGAUAGGCCUAUGGCUUAUCAGCUUGUUGGUGAGGUAAUGGCUCACCAAGGCUAUGACGAGUAACGGGCGUGAGAGCGUGACCCGUCCCACUGGAACUGAGACACUGUCCAGACUCCUACGGGAGGCUGCAGUCAAGAAUCUUUCGCAAUGGCCGAAAGGCUGACGAAGCAAUACCGCGUGAAGGAAGACGGCCCUCGGGUUGUAAACUUCUUUUCUUAAGGAAGAAUUUGUGACGUUACUUGAGGAAUAAGCAACUGCUAACUUCGUGCCAGCAGCAGCGGUAAUACGAAGGUUGCAAGCGUUAUCCGGAAUUAUUGGGCGUAAAGCGUCUGUAGGUUGUUUACCAAGUUUCAAAUUAAAACUCUAAGCUCAACUUAGAGUGAGUUUGAAAAACUGAUAAACUAGAGAUCGGGGGAGGUAAGCGGAAUGGCUGGUGUAGUAGUAAUAUGCAUUGAUAUCAGCUAGAACACCGAAUGCGAAGGCAGCUUACUAAAACGAUUCUGACACUGAGAGACGAAAGCGUGGGUAGCGAAUGGGAUUAGAUACCCCAGUAGUCCACGCCGUAAACGAUGGGUACUAAGCAUUGGAAGUAUCGAUCCUUCCAGUGCUGUUUAGAUAAGUUA